This 2180-nucleotide long non-coding RNA is filed under the name Pan troglodytes (chimpanzee). RNAcentral describes it as "long non-coding RNA NONPTRT006152". The record is from RNAcentral. Lineage: Eukaryota; Metazoa; Chordata; Mammalia; Primates; Hominidae.
GAAGUGGGGGUUUAAGUGGAAGCAGUGAGGGUGGGGGCCCGGCCCAAACUGUGCCACCUUCCACCCCCUGCCCCUGGGAGAAUAGACAUCGCCCACUCGGGCUCACAGUGCCAUCCGGGUGAGGACCUCCAUGGAGAGCUUCUCUUUGCCAAAGAAAAGGAGUUGCAUUAGGUCUGCGAGCAGGCAGGGUGGCCUCUUCCUGGCUCCCCAUCCACCAAGGAAGCUUCAAGUUCCUGGGACACAGGUGGGGAACUCCAGCACCCCUGGAGGAAGGAAGACUGAGGUUGGGGGGUGGCAUCCAGGCCCUGACUCUGGGGCACGGUGGUCUGUGCAACCGAGACCCUGCCUCAGGCUCCAACAGCGCCUGCUCCUUUCCUCAGGUUGCAGUGACCACCAGGGGAGGUGCCGGGCGUGCAGGCUGCCACAGGAGGGGUGGGGAGGUGGGGAGUCUCUGCGGCAGGGUGGUGGGGGCCUAGGCCAGUCAGCUGAGGACGUGUCGGUGCACUCCCGGGAGGGCGGUAUGUGGGUGAGGAUCCCCAUGCAGAGUGGUGCCCACAAACCCCCCUUCCAGAGUCAUCUCUGGUCCACCUUGAAGUCCCCAGGAAAAUGACCUCGUCCUCCGCGGGUGUGAGCCACUAGGCCUGAGAGGAUGCUGGGACGGAGCUUUCAGAGAGGGAGGUGUCAGGAUGGUUUGAGUGUCACCAGGUAUUAAUUAAGCACUUGCUGUGUGCCAGGCACUUUCCCACACAGGAUGGAGCUGGGCCAUCCUCACAGCUCCUGCCCUGGAGACGCUGGCCUUGUGGAGGGAGGCGGGCAGCAGGAGCAGUGCUUUCUGGGCCUCUGUGGCCAGAGCUGGCCCUGCUGCAGCUCACUUCUGCCUGCAGCCCAGACGUCCUCCUGGUCCUCCUGAUGCCCCCGACCUCCAUGGAGGACGAGCAUUUCCAGCCCAGCCCUCCCCGUCUUCACCUCGCACUGCCCUGACACACUGGGAGCCUCCUGAUCCGUGAACCCGCGCUGGCGGGAGUAGCUACUGACCGCUGGGGACCCCUGCCCAGGCUGUUCGCAUGUGGAAAGGAUUCAGGGAGCAGGCGAUGCCCAAAGCGUGGAGACCAGCACUGCUCUCUCCCCAGCGACAGGUGCACGCCCAGAUCACGGAUGUGUCGGGAACAGCUGUGCUCCUGCUGCUCAGCGUCCGUCACUCCAGGCUGGGAGCGGGUCCCCAAGCUUCCGGCUGGGCCUAUCCGUCUCCACUCUCAGUGUGGGGGUGGGGGGCGCCAACAGCACGCAUUUGCUCUCUGCACUUCUCGUCUGAUAAUGGGCAGAGGGUCCUUCUGCAGCCCCAAAACAUCCCUAGGCAGGAGCCCUGGGGCCCCAAGCAGCCAGGGAGGUGAGCACCAAGGACCUCCCAGAGAGCGUCACCUUCCGCCGAGGGAGGCCCAGCCUGGGGGUGGUGUCUGAGACUUGGAAUCAACGCUUCCGUUGGUGGCAGUAAAUCCUGUCCCUAACCCUGCAGUAUAGCUGUGCCGUGUACAGGAGGGUGCUGUCUGACGCCAGACACCUGGACUACAGAUCGCAGCCCGAUUCCUGGUCAUUGCUCCACUGAACCCCAGACCCCAGCCUCAUUCUGGGCCCUCAUCCCCUAGAUCCAGGGACCCCAGCCCCAUUUCAGCCCUUGGGCCCUUGUAGGAUGCGAGGCCCUGGGCCCCAGCCCCCAGCCCAUCCGUGGCCCAGGCACUGGGGGGCUGAGGUCCUCUGAGAAGGGACACAGGGCCUGGGGGGCUGUCUCAGCCCAUCAGCAGGAGAGGACUGACUCCAGAAAAAUCAGCGUUUGUACCCACUCAGGCUGCCAAGACCUGUGUCCGUCCUUCCAAGCUCAACCUUCAGAGUUCAUGAGGCCCCUUGCCCAGAAUGUCCACAGAGUUCAUGAGGCCCCUUGAAUGUCCACAGAGUUCAUGAGGCUCCUUGCCUGGAAUAUCCACGUUUGAAACCUCCCAACACCGAGCCCCAUUUCAAGUAUAACCAGGAGGGAAAAUGGUGCUUGAAAUAAGCAUGCCGCAAAGGAAAACCUGCUUUCUCGAAAUGGGCCCUGGCCGCCCAGGCCCUGACCUCCCCGGCCAGGAUGGAACGUUCCAGAGACCCAUUAGUGCCAAAGGCAAAUGAAAACACACCCUGUGAAAAUG